GUGGGGUGGGGUGGGAGGCAGUGGUUGGCUUAUAGCUAUUGUUUUUACAAAAAGCCUUUCUCCCUACAAAUUUUAAAGGCAAUAGAAGUUCAUUAGUAAAUUGAAAAAAUAUAGGAACCCAUGAGAAAUUUAAAAAAGUACUUACUUGUACCACCCAGAGGAAACUACUAAAAUUUUGGUUUAUAGUCUUCCAACUUUUUCUGUUUUACUAUAAAGAGUAAUAUUGAUAUUUGAUACAAAAUUUCUAGUUUUUCAUUAUGACAAAUAAUAGUGUGAUAAAAAUCUUGGUGUGUGGUCAUUGAUUGCAUCUCUGAGGUUAUUUCCUCUUGAAGUUUUCUAGAACUCAUAUAUUUGCUUUUUUUUUUGAGAUGGAGUCUCACUCUGUCACCUCGGCUGGAGUGCAGUGGUGUGAUAUUGGCUCACUGCAACCUCCGCCUCCUGGGUCUAAGCAAUUCUCCUGCCUCAGCCUCCCAACUAGCUGGGACUACAGGUGUGCCACCACACAUAGCUAACACUUUUUACAUUUGUAUGCUUUUUUGGGAGAAUUUCACUGUUUAAAAUAGCUCCCAAGAAUAGUGCUCAAGUGCUGUCUAGGGUUUCCAAGUGCCAGAAGGCUGUUAUGUGCCUUCAGAGAAGAUGCAUGUGUUAGACAAGCCUCACUUAGUCAUGCGCUACAGUGCUAUUGGCUGUAAUAUUAAUGUUAAUGAAUGAAUGACAUGUAGUAAAUGAGGUGUCUUUAAAGAGAACACUCAUAGAACAAGGUUAUGUAUUGACUGGUUGAUGAAAAUGUUGUGAGCAGAGGCUUGCAGGAACCUAACCCUGUAUGUCCCAUAGGAGCUGUAGUUCAGUAUUUGUAAUUCAGUGCUUGCAGUGACUUUAUUGAACAUAACUACCAGGAAUAAUGAGAAUUGAGUGUGUAUGUUUAUGUGUGUAUAUGUGUGUUUUCCAAUGUGCAGCACUCUCAUCUAAUCUGGUUGGAUUGUAAAUUUGUGUAAUUUGGAAAGCAGUGUAUUGAGUAUCCAAAAAUGCACAAUAUUUGAAUCUAUUUAUUAAUCUAAUCAAUAUUAAUUAUAAAGGAAU
This 1080-nucleotide long non-coding RNA is filed under the name Callithrix jacchus (white-tufted-ear marmoset). RNAcentral's name for it is "lncRNA (ENSCJAG00000076374.1)". The record is from RNAcentral. Lineage: Eukaryota; Metazoa; Chordata; Mammalia; Primates; Cebidae.